CCUGCUAGACUACCCUGUAUGAAAUGUUGUAUAUAUGGUUGAUCCAAACACAGUAACUUUGCUAAACGAAUUAAUGCUUAAGCCAAGAAAGAACUUAGCAUUUGAAGUUGAGAGUGUGCAAAUAUAUCAAAUCUUUGUGAAAAGAACAUUGUGAAGAAGAAGACUAGAUGUUCUAGUUUAGAGAUGUAACAUGUAAAUUUGUAUGUAUCAAUAUACAGUAAAUC
Lacerta agilis (Sand lizard) is the source of this 224-nucleotide long non-coding RNA. RefSeq lists it as uncharacterized. The record is from RefSeq and is a predicted model, not a curated record. NCBI's taxonomy places the organism in Eukaryota, Metazoa, Chordata, Lepidosauria, Squamata, Lacertidae. The transcript has 3 exons.